This 429-nucleotide ribosomal RNA is filed under the name uncultured bacterium. Its description in RNAcentral is "bacterial SSU rRNA". It matches the Rfam family "Bacterial small subunit ribosomal RNA", at positions 31 to 507 of the family's 1533-position model. The record is from RNAcentral.
GAACGCUGGCGGCAGGCCUAACACAUGCAAGUCGAACGGAUCCUUCGGGGAUUAGUGGCGGACGGGUGAGUAACACGUGGGAACGUGCCUUUUGGUUCGGAACAACUCAGGGAAACUUGAGCUAAUACCGAAUAUGCCCUUCGGGGGAAAGAUUUAUCGCAUUAGAGCGGCCCGCGUCUGAUUAGCUUGUUGGUGAGGUAAAGGCUCACCAAGGCUACGAUCAGUAGCUGGUCUGAGAGGAUGAUCAGCCACAUUGGGACUGAGACACGGCCCAAACUCCUACGGGAGGCAGCAGUGGGGAAUCUUGCGCAAUGGGCGAAAGCCUGACGCAGCCAUGCCGCGUGAAUGAUGAAGGUCUUAGGAUUGUAAAAUUCUUCACCGGGGACGAUAAUGACGGUACCCGGAGAAGAAGCCCCGGCUAACUUCGUG